This 1197-nucleotide ribosomal RNA is filed under the name Triticum aestivum (bread wheat). Its description in RNAcentral is "partial small subunit ribosomal RNA". The record is from RNAcentral. Lineage: Eukaryota; Viridiplantae; Streptophyta; Magnoliopsida; Poales; Poaceae.
AUGAAGGUUUUGUCAAGAUAUUUGGUGAUUUUUUUGGAGAAGUUAAUGCUCUCCGUGUUCUUCAUUUGCCCAUCAUGCUUUGUCCUGUGGAGUCUAUGUUACAUAACUUUUCAGUACUUGUCCACCUACGAUACCUAUGUCUUUGGGACAAGUAAGAGCCAGAUGCAUUUACCACUAAACAUCUCUAAAUUUUAUCAUUUAAGGAUUCUAGAUCUUGAAUUGUGGGACGACAGUCGUAAUUUGCCCGAAGACAUCAGCAACCUUGCCAAAUUGUGCCAUUUUUGUGUCCCAAAUGAUGACCAGCUUCAUUCUGAUAUCUAUAAUGUGGGAGAACUUAAACUCUUAGAAGAGCUUAAGAUAUUUAAAGUCAAUAAAAGAAGUGAAGGGUUUGAACCAAAGCAACUAGAGCACUUGACCAACCUAAGGGAGCUUAGCAUCUACAACCUUGAGAAAAUACAUACAAAAGAAGAAGCAGCCCAAGCAAAAUUGGUCCGAGAUGUUUCUGACCAUAAUCCCCUCCUUAUGUCCACAAACAGCUCGCAACCUCAAUCUCCUAAGCCUAGAGAGUUCAGAUUUGAGAUGAGUUGGAUGGCCAACGAGGAAUUCCUCCCUUUGGUCAAACAAAUCUGGCAGAAACCAGUUAAGUCCUCGGACCCUAUAGAUGUCCUAAAUAUCAAGUUGAAGCGGUUUAAAAAGUUUUUUAAAGGCUGGGGUUCUGAUAAAUUCGGGCACACCAAUAAAAGAAAAAAAGUGAUCAAGGACGAGCUUGCUUCCAUAGAAGCUAUGGAAGAACAAGGGCCUCUUGAUCCUGAUACACUUAUGAAAAGAGCCUCUCUUAGUGGCGAACUCCAACAACUCAUGGUGAAUGAGGAAUUAUAUUGGCUUCAACAAUCACAUGAAACUUGGUUGUUGAAGGGUGAUCAAAACACUGCUUUCUACCAUAGGAUUGCCAAUGGGAAGAAACGUAAAAACACCAUUCACUCCUUCUCGUGUGGUGACACCACCAUUGAGGGGACUGAUAACUUGCUUAAUCAUGCUACACAUUACUAUAAAGAGCUUUUUGGUCCGGCCCCCGGGAAUCUUUUCCACUUAGAUCCUGACACUUGGGGUGAUGAUGAAAAACUCAUGGAUGAGGAUAACGAGUUCCUGACUAGACCCUUUAGUACAUCACAUAAGCCUUGCAAGCAUAAGAGAUAA